UACGGAGGAUGCAAGCAUUAUCCGGAAUGAUUGGGCGUAAAGCGUCCGCAGGUGGCUAUGUAAGUCUGCUGUUAAAGAGUGAGGCUCAACCUCAUAAGAGCAGUGGAAACUACAUGGCUAGAGUGCGUUCGGGGCAGAGGGAAUUCCUGGUGUAGCGGUGAAAUGCGUAGAGAUCAGGAAGAACACCGGUGGCGAAAGCGCUCUGCUAGGCCGCAACUGACACUCAUGGACGAAAGCUAGGGGAGCGAAUGGG
This 253-nucleotide ribosomal RNA is filed under the name uncultured bacterium. RNAcentral's name for it is "partial 16S ribosomal RNA". It matches the Rfam family "Bacterial small subunit ribosomal RNA", at positions 524 to 776 of the family's 1533-position model. The record is from RNAcentral.